AAGUAAAUAGCCUCUUUGUUUAUAUACUAUUACUAAUACUAUUGAUGUUACUACCCAGAAUCCGGUGUCACAAUCCAUAAACACACUAUGAUUUUCUACAAACAUCAGACUGAAAGAAAUUACAAUUGUUUUGGAAAUAAACAAAAAAUAGUAAUAUAGAGAAGUAGAAGGGGACGCCAGGGCCUGCGGAAGCCAGCAGGACUACCUUGAGUCUCCUAAUUGAAAAUAUCUGCAACCGACCUCUCGAUCAGCCACUACCUGCUCCAAAAUUUGCACAGAAAGUAUAGAGCGCAGUAUUAGUACAACCGAUCCCGUGUACUGGUAAGUGCCGAGCCUAACCUCGACGAGGUAAUGACGAGGCUACGGCAGGUCAAUUAUAAUAUAACCUGCAUACAGUGCAUAAUAAAAUCAGAAAGAAGGACUUGAUAAAAUAAAGCAGUAACUUGCAUGGAAUGAAUACAAAACUCAAGUGUCUUAUCAGUAUCCAGCUAUAACCAAUCCUUAAGUGAAAUGCAAAGUUACGGAAUAACUUACACAGUAGAAGAAAGAUACAUAAACACAUAAACUGAUGUGGCGCGCAUCCCGAUCCCGCUAUAUAUCAAUGUCAAAAUGAAUAUUCACCCUUAUUACUCCAUAUCAAUCCACCCUUAUUCCUCCUGUUGCGGCGUACAACCUAAUCCCACCGUAUAAUAGCAUUUCACCCUUAUUCCUCCUGUUGUGGUGCGCAACCCGAUCCCACCGUAUAAUAGCAUUUCACCCUUAUUCCUCCACAUUAUAUCACCCUUAUUCCUCUGGUUGUGACGCGCAAUCGGAUCACACCAUAUCUGCAUCAUUUACUUAAUAAGUACAGAAAUUUCACAAUUUAACCCAAACUCUUCCCAAUAUUUAAACCUCAAACUAAAACAAAUGGAAAGCUUGUACAUUAUAAAAUUUCACACAAAUUAUACUACUCAGCGAAAACAAUCAAAAAUAUAACCUAAAACACCGAUAAUAUGAGACAAUAAAACUACGGGGAAGAAAUUAAGAAUAACAAUACCAGUAAAGCAUGUAGCAGUUAAGGCAGGGAAAAUAAUAUAAUGAGAACGGGAAGAAAACAGGCAAAACAGAUAAAUUGGCGGCACAUAGGUACUCGUCACCUCACCUAUACGCCACUCUCAUGGAUUUUCAUAUAGCAACUAAGUCAAGGAUUCCUAAUCCCUCGAGUCAAAGUCAGACACAACACUUACCUCGAUCCACUGGUCACUCAGUGCUCAAUUACCGCUUUUCCUCUGGAUUCCACCUCCAAACCACUCGUAUCUAGCCAUAAUUAACUUAAUAACAUCAAAUAUUGCUAAAGAAAUCAAUUUCAAUACAUAAAUUUAAGUUUUCCAAACUUUCCCCCAAAAAUCAAAAAUCGACCCCGGGCCCGCUUGGUUAAAACUUGUGGUUCAGACCAAAAACUAUUCAUCCAUUCAUCCCCGAGCCCGAAUAUGUAAUUAGUUCCGAAAUUCGACCCCAAAUCGAGGUCUAAAUUUUUAAUUUGAAAAAAAACCUCAAUUCUUCCAAAAAUCCCUAAUUCUACCAUGAAAGAACAAGGUUUAGGACUUGGAAUCUAAUGGGUGAUGAUGGAAGUUGAAGUAAAUGAGUUAAAGAGUACAAACCUAUGAUUCGGUGUUGAAUUUCCUCUUCAAAAAUUGUCUUAGGUCGAGUUCUAAUGAAAGAGAUAUGAAAUUUUGAAGAAUUUCUGUUUUUGGUCUGUUUUAAAAUUACUGGGCAGGCCUUCUUCGCACUCGCGAAGGGCCUGCCGCGAUCGCGAAGCAGCAACUCGAUUAGCCUACGCGUUCGCGAGAUAUUCAUCGUGUUCGCAAAGGCUUAUUCCCCCCAGCCUACGCGUUCGCGAAGAGUAUCAGUCAUUUCCCCUCCCCUAGGUCCCAUUUCUUCGCGUUCGCGAUAGAUAGAUGGCAUUCGUGAAGGGUAAUGCCCCCGUUGCUCCGCAUUCACGACCAGUCCUUCGCAUUCGCAAAGAAGAAAAUACCCUUGCCCCCAUUUUAACUUCUGCGUUCGCGAGAGUACCUCCGCGAGCGCGAUGAAGGGCAUACCAGAACAGCUGCUGUAGCAAAAAUACCAGAUUUUCUACGUCUAAAAUAUACCAUAGCCUAUCCGAAACUCACCCGAGCCCUCGGGGCUCCAAUCAAACAUGUACACAAGUCUUAAAAUAUCAUACGAACUUGCUAGCGUGAUCAAAUCGCCAAAAUAACACCUAGAACUACGAAUUUAGCGCCAAAUCAAAUGAAAUUCUCAAGAACACUUUAAAAUUUCUAUUUUCACAACCGGAUGUCCGAAUCACGUCAAACCAACUCCGUUUCUCACCAAAUUUCACAGACAAGUCUUAAAUAUUAUGAACUUGUAUCGGGCUUCAAAACCAAAAUACGGACCCGAUACCAACGAGAUCAAACAUUAACCAAAUUCUUAAAACCAUUUAAUUUUCAGUUUUCAAAUUUUCAUCAAAAAUUCAUAUCUCGAGCGAGGAACCUCGGAAUUCGAUUCCGGACAUACCCCCACGUCUCAUAUUUCGAUACGGACCUACAGGGAAUGUCAAAAUAUGAGUCCGAGUCUGUUUACUCAAAACGUUGACCGAACUCAACUAAAUCAACUUUUAAAGGCAAAAACUAUUAUUUUUAUCAACUUUCAACAUAAAAGCUUUCCGAAAAUAUGUCCGGACUGUGCACUCAAAUUGAGAAGGAAUAAAAUAAGGUUUUGAAGGCCUCAGAAUAUGGAAUCGAGUUCUAAAACGUAAGAUGACCUUUUGGGUCAUCACAUUUCUAUGUAUGACGUUAUUUGUCAAAAUCUCUACAUACUAUUCUUGUACCAUUAUAUAAGCCAUUUGAUGAAUGUAUUUUUUCUUCAAAAUUAACCUAUAUUAGAUGGAAAAUGAAUUUUAACUUUGUCCAAUAUAUACAUAACACUAAAGCCCAUAUCAAUUAUUUUAAUUGUCUGAUGCUUCGCAAUGAGCGCUACAUCCUAUAUUACUUAUGAUUUUCUUAUAAAUUUAAUAUUACCAUUAUACUUUUAUAUAUUUGUGAUGGUUAUUCAGUAGUUUGAAGAGAUAUGUUGAAAAUAAAUGAGUUGUACAUCCCUUAAUAAAAUUGUUGCUACUACACUACUUGUUGCUGUUGCUAACAGUUCUUAGUCAACCAUUUUCAAGUAAUGCAUGCUAUAUGAAUAUUUUUUCGAUCUCUUGGGGGAUAUCUACAAUGGAUAAUCCCGUUCUACAACAGUCUUCUCUUGCAAUAUAAUCCCUAUGUUUCAAAAAGAAUGAACCUCUUUCUUUUUAGUCAGUUUAAAAAGAAUGAUCCUUUUAAAAUUUAGAAAGCUUGUAACUUUAAACUUCUAAUAUUUCCCUUAAUAAAAUAAUUACUAGCCACACAAAUAUUUAUAGGUUGCUUUAGAUGACAAGUUUCAAAAGUUUUCUUCUUGUUUUAAUACUCCACAUCCAAACAAAUAGGUUCAAACAAAUUGAAACUGAGGGAGUAAUCUUUAAAGCUGCUCGUGUUAAGGAUUUAGCUUUGAUUGUGGAUUAAAAUCUUCCUCGAGCGCUUAUAUAGCCUUUUGACUCUUGAUACUAUCCUAAUCGAUUUUGUGUGUUUUCUAAAUUUUGUCACCUUUCUUAUGUAAUAAAUUUGUGUACCCCAAGAGUUUUAUAAACUUAGAAAAAUAAUUUUAUGUUUUGAUUAAUUUGAAAAAGAAUGAAUGGGGUUCUCUCGCUAAAUAGUUAACUGAAAAACUUAAUUAUUUGGUCUUAGUAUUUUUUGUUGAUUUAAAUUUUUAAUAUUAGUUCAUCUCAUAUUUUAAAUAUUCAACUGUAAUUAUAAUUCAGUCACUAAAUAUUGAUUUGAUACUCCACUUUUGAAUCUUUAUGAUUGUAAAAAUAUUAGUAUUAUUAACUCUUACCAACUAGUUUUCGUUCUCUCUCAUACAAAUAUUCAUAAUUCUUUCUUAGUUAUUUGUUUUGAUUAUUACUUGUAGUUAGUCAAUACUACAAAAUAUUUAUGAUUAGUAUUUGGUAAGAAAUAUAUUCAUAUUAUUGUUCAUAUAUAUAGUUUUAAGAUAUAUAGGGAAUUACAGUUAUAUUACAUUUUCUAAAUAAAAAUAAUGAAAAUAUUAACUAAACCUUUGGUUGGUGGGAUUAUGGUAUGACAUAUAUCGAAUAGAAAAGGGAACUGGAGAUCGAACUUAUUCAUAGCAAUAUUGAUGCUGCUCAUUGUUCACGUCAAAAUAUUAGUAGGAUUAAAUUAAUAAUAGUAAAUAUUGCCGAACGUGUAUGUCCUAAAAGUGGCCUAAUGUGUAUGUGUCACGACUCAAAAAUCACUGGUCGUGAUGACAUCUAAUUUGACCCGCAAGACAAGCCAAUUAACUAAUAGAAACAACCAAAUAACUUAUAGAAAAAAAAGAAAGUUAGAAUUUAUUUGAACUUUCACAGAUUUUACCCAGGAACUGGUAGUACAAGUCAUGAACAUCAAGAAUUUAGGAUUUUCAAAGCUAAUACAACUUUUCACACAAUCUGUUCGAAAACUACGUAAACAGAUUAAGAAUGUCUAAAACUACCAAGAACAAGUGGCGGCUUCAACUGUUAUACCCCAUUUUAACACGGGUCAAACCAGAGUAUAACAUAUUGGUAAUUCUGAAGGUUUAAUUAAUUAAGAGAGUCGCCACCUAAUUAUUUUUAAAGGUGAAUUAGGACACCUAGUUACAAAAUAAUGCUUAAAAUCAACUAUGUUUUAUGAUCUGCUUAAUCUUAAGAUUAUGAGUAAGGGUUCUAAUUAAUCCUAUAGGGAAGAUUGUUAAAGCACCCUAUAUGAUCCGUUAAUUACGGUUAACCAGCCAAACUUAGGUUAAUUAGUAAAACAACUAAAUGAUGAGAAUAUACUUAUUAGAAAAGGGUUAAUAGUAAGUCAUUCCAAAGUAGAGAUUUACAAUCGGAGCAAGAAAAUUGUUUUAGACUGUUUCAAACUCAUAAAAGAAAAGUCCAAAACUAUUUGAAAACAAAAUUAAAAACUCAUUAAGUUUCCAAUAAUUAGCUAAGAAAAACAGUUCAACAAAGUGAAAUAAAAUUUAAAGCUUGCUUGGGUCAAAAAACAUCUUCCUAACGAGAAGAGAUUAAUCACUAAACUUGAAACAAAUCUAAGAUUCACAAAAUGUUUAAGGAAAAUUACUUUCGCGUGAGGAAAUACUUUACAAGUUCAAAAUCACAAAUCAUUCCAGCCAAGUGCAUUUAACAUUUAAAAGCAAAGGGAUAUUAAAUUAUUGAACUCCCAAAAAAUCAAACCUAAUGUAGAUAAAUUUAGGAUAACUAUAGACUUCUAGACCUCUACCCCAUAUUCUUCUUGAUAAAACAAACAUCCUUAUUGUUACCUAGUAAUAACUCUAAAUGAUCUAAGACCCAGCUCUUAUAAACAAACAAAUAGUCACAACAAACACACAAGUAAAUAUUAGUCAGUAAGGAUAAACCAAAAUAAGUUAAAAUAAUGUAAUAAAGCUUCUAUCCAAUUGUCAGGAGGAUAAAUCUCCCCAAAUUUCGCUAUUCAAAGGGACGAAUAAAGGUAUGAGGGUUCACUUCGGCAGCGGCGUGGAGUCUAACUUUGAGACUCUUUGGCUCCGGUGUGUGUAACAUGCAAAGAAAAAAAAAUAAAAGAAUAAAAUUAGCAGAGGUCUUAAAUCUUCAACAAGCAUGAAGAAAAUGAAACAAUGAAGCUAGGCAAAGACAAGAUUGCAUUGAGUGUGUGUCCCAAGUAUUAUAGAGACAAGAAACAGAUCUCAAAAACUUCAAAUAGGAUACAUGUUGCAAGAAAAGGAUGUUUUUAUAAAACUUAAGAACGUAAUAUUUACCUAGCAAAUAUACUUGUAAGGAUCUAAGAAUGAUCUUUAACUACCACUCUAAAAAAUACUAUGGGCAUGCUUUUAUAUAUAUAUAUAUAUAUAUAUAUAUAUAUAUAUAUAUAUAUACUANNNNNNNNNNNNNNNNAGUACUUCUUCCAUAUGACAUUUAAAUAAGUAAAUAGUGGUUAAUCCAUAAAAAUUCAUGGCCUACAAACAUGGUUCUUAAAUAGUUGAAAAAAAUUCCAUACGCAAGUUCAUAUGAGAAUUUAGUCAAACACAUGGCAUUCUUAUUCAAACUUUCUAUUGCCACAAUACGCAAUGAACCACAAAUCAUGAUUUUUCAAUAAAAUAAUUCCUCAAGUAUGAUUUAUACAUAGAAAGCAAGUCACAUUCUUAAGCAAGCAUUUAUUCUGGAACUCAAAAUAAAAAUUAAAAAAAAGGGAGAAGGAAAUUUUUAAGGCUACGGACCUGCUUGGGGGCAGUGAACCGGAGCUUCAACCUCGAAUCUACUCUAUAUUGUCACCAACAGAUCCGACUUCUAGCUGAGUUCGAGUAUUCUGUUACGGCUAAAGUACGCUGAGACAGAAGCAAAAGUUCCAAAGAAACUUUUAGAGUUUUUGGGAGAUGAUAUCAACAACGAGAAAAUGAUAGUAUUCGUCAGGGGCACAAUUUGUGUGAAGUAGGCUGCUCCCUCCCAGAACUCUCCCAAAUGCGAGUAUUUAUAGGAGAUGUAGAGGUAGGGAUUGUAUUUUAGGCGGGAUAUUUUUCAGAUUUUGAUUUUGAAAUGGAGUCAAAAAGCCGUUCGAAUCCGAACGUUGGGAAUUUAAUGUUCAUGUGGCUUGGUAUGAGAAAGUCCUCUGAGAUCGAAUCAAAUCCCUGAAAAUCAGUUCUUUCCAUCUCAGAAAAUCAGAAUGCCAAAAGUCUUUUGGCCUCUUUUGUUGGCUAAAUCAUUGAAGACAAAGUUUGCUCAAAAAUAGAAGGGACAAAGUUUGUCCUUGGCUAAAGUGAAGCUUGACNNN
RNAcentral lists this long non-coding RNA (6875 nucleotides) under Nicotiana tabacum (common tobacco). Its description in RNAcentral is "long non-coding RNA (NTAB_LNC006981)". Lineage: Eukaryota; Viridiplantae; Streptophyta; Magnoliopsida; Solanales; Solanaceae. The record is from RNAcentral.